RNAcentral lists this ribosomal RNA (128 nucleotides) under Ceratobasidium sp. Its description in RNAcentral is "partial large subunit ribosomal RNA". It matches the Rfam family "Eukaryotic large subunit ribosomal RNA", at positions 99 to 224 of the family's 3401-position model. Lineage: Eukaryota; Fungi; Basidiomycota; Agaricomycetes; Cantharellales; Ceratobasidiaceae. The record is from RNAcentral.
CGGGAAGAGCUCAAAUUUAAAAUCUGGCAGCCUUGUGUUGUCCGAGUUGUAGUCUAGAGAAGCAUCAUCCGUGCUGGACCAUGUACAAGUCUCUUGGAACAGAGCGUCAUAGAGGGUGAGAAUCCCGU